Molecule: ribosomal RNA, 165 nt
Filed under: Fleroya rubrostipulata
Lineage: Eukaryota; Viridiplantae; Streptophyta; Magnoliopsida; Gentianales; Rubiaceae
Description: 5.8S ribosomal RNA
Rfam family: 5.8S ribosomal RNA
About the family: 5.8S ribosomal RNA (5.8S rRNA) is a component of the large subunit of the eukaryotic ribosome.
Source: RNAcentral
CCAAAUGACUCUCGGCAACGGAUAUCUCGGCUCUCGCAUCGAUGAAGAACGUAGCGAAAUGCGAUACUUGGUGUGAAUUGCAGAAUCCCGUGAACCAUCGAGUUUUUGAACGCAAGUUGCACCCGAAGCCGUCAGGCCAAGGGCACGUCUGCCUGGGUGUCAUGC